GGAGAGUUGUCUGAGUGGUCGAAAGAGCUUGACUGCUAAUCAAGUAUAGGCUAUACUAGUCUAUCCAGAGUUCAAAUCUCUGACUCUCCGCCA
Molecule: transfer RNA, 93 nt
Filed under: Caudoviricetes sp.
Lineage: Duplodnaviria; Heunggongvirae; Uroviricota; Caudoviricetes
Description: tRNA-Ser
Rfam family: tRNA
About the family: Transfer RNA (tRNA) molecules are approximately 80 nucleotides in length. Their secondary structure includes four short double-helical elements and three loops (D, anti-codon, and T loops).
Source: RNAcentral